This 253-nucleotide ribosomal RNA is filed under the name uncultured bacterium. Its description in RNAcentral is "partial 16S ribosomal RNA". It matches the Rfam family "Bacterial small subunit ribosomal RNA", at positions 524 to 776 of the family's 1533-position model. The record is from RNAcentral.
UACGUAGGGUGCAAGCGUUGUCCGGAAUUAUUGGGCGUAAAGAGCUCGUAGGCGGUUUGUUGCGUCGGCUGUGAAAUCCCGAGGCUCAACCUCGGGUCUGCAGUCGAUACGAGCAAACUAGAGUGUUGCAGGGGAGACUGGAAUUCCUGGUGUAGCGGUGAAAUGCGUAGAUAUCUGGAGGAACACCGGUGGCGAAGGCGGCAUCCUGGACCGGCAUUGACGCUGAGGCGCGAAAGCCAGGGGAGCAAACGGG